CAUAAGAUGGCCUGAGAACUGUGGUGGAUUUCUGCAAACAUGUCUUUCUCCCUGGAGCUCAAUUACAAGCAUCAUAGCAGAAGAAGGGCUGGGAUUCAGCACAAGCCACAGAAGAUGGUACUUGCAAUCAAUUAACUCAAAGCCAAAGACUGCAAUAUAACAGUCAAGACGCAGAAAUGAAGGAUGCAACCAUGAAUCUUAGCAAGGUGAUUAAAUAACUGGAAGAAUACAGACACAGAUAGACUGAAGCCUGCAAACCAAAAACUGAGUAUUUCUGUGAUAGCCCUAACAUUUCCCUUGAAACAUCUCAUGCAUUUAAGAUUAAAAGUUUGUCCCAGUAACUACUGGCAAGAAGAACAAGAAGCAAAACAACUCAA
Molecule: long non-coding RNA, 377 nt
Organism: Corvus hawaiiensis (hawaiian crow)
Lineage: Eukaryota; Metazoa; Chordata; Aves; Passeriformes; Corvidae
Exons: 3
Source: RefSeq, a predicted model, not a curated record